This 374-nucleotide ribosomal RNA is filed under the name uncultured organism. RNAcentral describes it as "bacterial SSU rRNA". It matches the Rfam family "Bacterial small subunit ribosomal RNA", at positions 526 to 897 of the family's 1533-position model. The record is from RNAcentral.
CGUAGGGUGCGAGCGUUAAUCGGAAUUACUGGGCGUAAAGCGUGCGCAGGCGGUUUUGUAAGACAGGUGUGAAAUCCCCGGGCUUAACCUGGGAACUGCGCUUGUGACUGCAAGACUCGAGUACGGCAGAGGGGGGUGGAAUUCCACGUGUAGCAGUGAAAUGCGUAGAGAUGUGGAGGAACACCGAUGGCGAAGGCAGCCCCCUGGGUCGAUACUGACGCUCAUGCACGAAAGCGUGGGGAGCAAACAGGAUUAGAUACCCUGGUAGUCCACGCCCUAAACGAUGCGAACUAGGUGUUGGAGAAGGAGACUUCUUUAGUACCGCAGCUAACGCGUGAAGUUCGCCGCCUGGGGAGUACGGUCGCAAAGAUUAA